AGUGAACGCUGGCGGUAGGCCUAACACAUGCAAGUCGAACGGCAGCACAGUAAGAGCUUGCUCUUACGGGUGGCGAGUGGCGGACGGGUGAGGAAUACAUCGGAAUCUACUUUUUCGUGGGGGAUAACGUAGGGAAACUUACGCUAAUACCGCAUACGACCUACGGGUGAAAGCAGGGGAUCUUCGGACCUUGCGCGAUUGAAUGAGCCGAUGUCGGAUUAGCUAGUUGGCGGGGUAAAGGCCCACCAAGGCGACGAUCCGUAGCUGGUCUGAGAGGAUGAUCGGCAACACUGGAAAUAGGAACAGGCCCAACCUCCACGGGGAGGAAGAAGGGGGGAAUAUGGGAAAAGGGGCCGAAGCCUGACCCAGCCAUACCGGGUGGGGAAAGAAGGCCUUCGGGUUGUAAAGCCCUUUUGUUGGGAAAAAAAAGCAGCAGGUUAAAACCCCGCUGUUCUGACGGUACCCAAAAAAUAAGCCCCGGCUAACUUCGU
Molecule: ribosomal RNA, 491 nt
Filed under: uncultured bacterium
Lineage: Bacteria
Description: partial 16S ribosomal RNA
Rfam family: Bacterial small subunit ribosomal RNA
Source: RNAcentral